Molecule: long non-coding RNA, 327 nt
Filed under: Theobroma cacao (cacao)
Lineage: Eukaryota; Viridiplantae; Streptophyta; Magnoliopsida; Malvales; Malvaceae
Description: long non-coding RNA (TCAC_LNC002267)
Source: RNAcentral
CCUGUUCAUGGAUCCCAAGGGCUCCAAGCAGCCUCCACAGGAAGUACCAAACUUCUUGAGCCUGCCGCCACAACCCCAACAACACCACCAACAUCCACAACCCCAACAACAGCAGCAACAGCCUCAAAACAUGGGUGAGAACAAACCAGCUGAAAUCAAGGAUUUCCAGAUUGUUAUUGCAGAUAAAGAAGAAGGGAAGAAACAACAGCUGGCCCCAAAAAGAAGUUCUAACAAAGACAGGCAUACCAAAGUUGAAGGAAGAGGUAGAAGGAUAAGGAUGCCUGCUUUAUGUGCAGCUAGAAUCUUUCAGUUGACCAGGGAAUUGGG